Molecule: non-coding RNA, 293 nt
Organism: Camelina sativa (false flax)
Lineage: Eukaryota; Viridiplantae; Streptophyta; Magnoliopsida; Brassicales; Brassicaceae
Source: RefSeq, a predicted model, not a curated record
GAGGCAUCUGAAAACAGAGGGAAUUGGCCACCUUUACAGAGACAGUUAUUGCACUUGGAGAGACAACAAACCCACAUAAUGAAUAUGUUGCAGGAUUUCAUGGGUGGUUCACACGACGGCAUGAUAAGUUUGGAGAACCGUGUUAGAGGUCUUGAGAGGAUUGUAGAAGAGAUGUCAAGAGAAAUUUCCAUACAAUCAGGUGCGAGGGGAAAGGCGGCAGCAUCAUGGAGGUCUGAUGCAAAUGGAUGGGAUAGUUCUAAGAAUGGAGAUUUUUCUAGAAACACUCAGGCCAG